GUCGGGACAGUCUACUUCACUAUCUUACAGAAAAGUUAGUAACACAUGUUCUACGUCAACACUUUUGUCCGCACUAGGCGCAAAUGAAAACUAGAUAGCUGUGGUCUAGUUGAGAAACAACACACGGUGUUCUUCGGCUUAGUUUAUUAUUUUUAAAGUAGGUCCAAAGAUUGAAUCGGUCAGUCUACAUCACUACCUUACAGAAAAGUUAUCAAAACUGUUCUACGUCAAUACUUGUGUACGCAAUAGGCGCAAAGGGAAGCUAGGAAGCUGUGUUGUACUUGAGAAAGAACACAGGGUGUUCUUCGGCUUAGUUUAUUAUUUUUAAAUAGGUCCAAAGAUUGAAAUGAACAGUCUACUUCACUACCUUACAGAAAAAUUAAUCAAACAUGUUUUACGUCAAUACUUUUGUCCGCACUAGGUGCAAAGGAAUCUAGGAAGCUGUGGUGUACUUAAGCGAAAACACAGGAUGUUCUUCGGCUUAGUUUAUUAUUUUUAAAGUAGGUACAAAGAUUGAGUCGGUCAGUCUACAUCACUACCUUACAGAAAUGUUUUCAAAACUGUUCUACGUCAAUACGUGUGUCUGCAAUAGGCGCAAAGGGAAGCUAGUAAGCUGUGGUGUACUUGAGAAAGAACACAGGGUGUUCUUCGGCUUAGUUCAUUUUAUUUUUUUAACAAGGUUCAAAGUUGGGGUCGGACACCCUAUCCCACCCUUACAGAAAAGUUAAUAAAAAAUGUUCUACGGCAAUACUUUUGUCUGCACUAGGCGCAAAGGGAAGCUGGGCAGCUGAGGUGUACAUGAAAUAAAAAAAAAACACAGGGUGUUCUUCAGCUUAGUUUUUUUUUAAAGUAGGUCCAAAGUUUGGGUCGGACACCCUAACCCACCUUUACAUAAAAGUUAUUUAAAAAUGUUCUACGGCAAUACUUUUGUCUGCACUAGGUGCAAAAGGAAGCUAAGUAGCUGAGGUCUACUUGAAAAAAAAUCCAGGGUGUUGUUCGGCUUAGUUUUGUUUUUAGGUAGGUCCAAAUUUGGGAUCGGACAUCCUAUCCCAUUACCUAACAGAAAAGGUAAUAGAGAAUGUUCUACGUCAACACGUUUGUCUGCACUAGGCGCACAGGGAAGCUGGGUAGCUGUGGUCUACUUGAGAAAGACACGGUGUUCUUCGGCUUUGUUUUGUUUUUGUUUUUUGAAAUAUGCCCAAAGAUUAAAUCGGACAGUUUACUUCACAACCUUACAGAAAAGUUAUUUACACAGUUCUACGUCAAUACUUUUGUCCGCACUAGGCGUAAAGGGAAGCUGGGUAGCUGUGGUCUACGUGAGAAAAAACACAGGGUGUUCUUCGGCUUAGUUUAUUGUAUUUUCAAAUCGGUCAAAAGAUUAAGUCGGACAUUCUACUUCACUACCUUACAGAAAAGUUAAUAAAACAUGUUCUAAGUCAAAUCGUUUGUCCGCACUAGGCGCAAAGGAAAGCUGGAUAGCUGUGGUCUACUUGAGAGAAAAAUAUAGUUUUUUUUUUUUUUGGCUAAGUUAAUUUUUUUCUAAGUAGGUCCAAAGUUGGGUCGGACACCCUACCACAGUACAAUUGUUAAUAACAAAUGUUCUAUGUCAAAACUUUUGUCCGCACUAGGCGCAAAAGGAAGCUGGGUAGAUGUUGUAUUCUUGAGAACAAAACACACGGUGUUCUUCGGCUUAGUUUAUUAUUUUUAAAUUAGGUCCUCAGAUUUAGUCGGUCAGUCUACAUCACUACCUUACAGAAAAGUUAUCAAAAUUAUUCUACGUCAAUACUUUUGUCUGCAAUAGGCGCAAAGGGAAGCUAGGAAGCUGUGGUGUACCUGAGAAAACACACAGGGUGUUAUUCGGCUUAGUUUAUUUUUUUUAGUAGGUCAACAGUUGGGUCGGACACCCUACCCCACUACCUUACAUAAUUGUUAAUAACAAAUGUUUUACGUUAAUCCUUUUGUCCGCACAAGGCGCAAUAGGAAGCUGGGUAGAUGUGGUCUACUUGCGAAAAAAACACAGGGUGUUCUUCGGCUUAGUUCAUUUUUUUUUAAAUAGGUCCAAAGAUUGAGUCGGACAGUCUACUUCACUACCUUACAGAAAAUUUAAUAAAGCAUGUUAUAUGUCAAUAAUCUUGUCCGCACUUGGCGCUAAGGGGAAGCUAGGUAGCUGUUGUCUACAUGAAAGGAAAAAAAUACAGGGUGUUCUUUAGCUUAGUUUUUUUUUUAAAGUAGGUCCAAAGUUGGGGUCGGACACCCUACCCCAGUACUUUACAGAAAAGUUAAUAAAACUGUUUUACGUGAAUUCUUUUGUCCGCACUAGGCGCAAAUGAUAGCUGAAUAGCUGUGGUCUACUUGAGAAAAAACACAUGGUGUUCUUCGGCUCAGUUUAUUUUCUUAUUAAAUAGGUCAAAAGAUUAAGUCGGGACAGUCUACUUCACUAUCUUACAGAAAAGUUAGUAACACAUGUUCUACGUCAACACUUUGUCCGCACUAGGCGCAAAUGAAAACUAGAUAGCUGUCGUCUAGUUGAGAAACAACACACGGUGUUCUUCGGCUUAGUUUAUUAUUUUUAAAGUAGGUCCAAAGAUUGAAUCGGUCAGUCUACAUCACUACCUUACAGAAAAGUUAUCAAAACUGUUCUACGUCAAUACUUGUGUCCGCAAUAGGCGCAAAGGGAAGCUAGGAAGCUGUAUUGUACUUGAGAAAGAAACACAGGGUGUUCUUCGGCUUAGUUUAUUUUUUUUAAAUAGGUCCAAAGAUUGAAAUGAACAGUCUACUACACUACCUUACAGAAAAAUUAAUCAAACAUGUUUUACGUCAAUACUUUUGUCCGCACUAGGUGCAAAGGAAGCUAGGAAGCUGUGGUGUACUUAAGCGAAAACACAGGAUGUUCUUCGGCUUAGUUGUUUUUAGAAGUUGGUCCACAGUUCGGAUCGGACACCCUACCCCACAACCUUACAGAAAAAUUAAUAAAGAAUAUUCUACGUCAAUACGUUUGUUCACACUAGUUGCAAAGGGAAACUGGGUAGCUGAGGUCUGCUUGAGAAAAAAAACAUAGGGUGUUUUUCGGCUUAGUUUAUUUUUUUGAAAGUAGGUCCAAAGAUUGAAUCACACAGUCUACUUCACUACCUUACAGAGAAGUUGAUAAAACAUGUUCUACGUCAAUCCUUUUGUCCACACUAGCCGCAAAGGAUAGCUGAAUAGAUGUGGUCUACUUGACAAAAAACACACGGUGUUCUUCGGCUUAGUUUAUUUUAUUUAAAGUAGGUCCACAGAUUGAGUCGGACAGUCUACUUCACCACAUUACAGAAAAGUUAAUCAAACAUGUUCUACGUCAAUACUUUUGUCCUCACUAGGCGCAAGGAGAAGUUGUGUAGCUGUAGUCUACUUGAGAAAACACACAGGGUGUUCUUCGGCUUAGUUUAAUUUUUCUUUAAAUAUGUCAAAAGAUUGAGUCGGACAGUGUACUUCACUAUCUUACAGAAAAGUUAAUAACACAUGUUCUACGUCAAUACUUUUGUCCGCACUAGGCGCAAAGGAAAGCUAGGUAGCUGUGGUGUACUUGAGAAAUAACACAGGGUGUUUUUCGGAUUGGUUUUUUUUACAUAGGUCUAAAGAUUGACUCGGACAGUCCGCACUAGUAGUAAAAGGAAGCUGGGUAACUGAGGUUUACUUGAGAAAACAAAUGCAGUCUGUUUUUCAGCUUAGUUUUUUUUUUAAAGUAGGUCCACAGUUGGUGUCGGACAAUCUACCCUACCCUUUAAGAAAAGUUAAUAAAUAUAUUUUGCACGGCAAAACCAUGUCCGCACUAGGUGAAAAUAGAGCUGCGUAGCUGAGGUCAACAUUAGAUAAAAAGUUUCGGUGUUGUUCGGCUUAGUUUUUUUCUUUUAAAGUAGGUCCAAAGUAGGGGUCGGACACCCUUCCCCAACCUUACAGAAAAGUUUAUAAAAAAUGUUAUACGGCAAUACUUUCGUCUGCACUAGGUGAAAAGGGAAGCUCAGUAGCUGAUGUCUACUUGAUAAAAAAUUCAGGGUUGUUCGGCUUAAUUUUUUUUUUUUUUACUAGGUUCAAAGUUGUAGUCGGACAUCCUAUCCCACCCUUACAGAAAAGUUAAUAAAAAAUGUUCUACGGCAAUACUUUUGUCCGCACUAGGUGCAAAGGGAAGCUGGGUAGCUGAUGUCUACUUGAUAAAAAAUCCAGGGUGUUAUUCGGCUUAAUUUUUUUUUUUUACUAGGUCCAAAGUUGGGGUCGGACACCCUAUCCCACCCUUACAGAAAACUUAAUAAAAGAUGUUCUAUGGCAAACACUUUUGUCUGCACUAGGUGCAAAGGGAAGCUGGACAGCUGAGGUCUACUUGACAAAAAGGGUGUUGUUCGGCUUAGUUUAGUCAAAGUAGGUCCACAGUUGGGGUCGGACACCCUAACCCACCCUUACAGAAAAGUUUAUUAAAAAUGUUCUACGGGAAUACUUUUGUUUGCACUAGUUGCAACGUGAAGCAAAGUAGCUAAGGUCUACUUGAGAAAAAAUCCAUGGUGUUGUUCGGCUUAGUUAUGUUUUAAUUAAAGGCAACAGUAGUAUACCGCUGUUCAAACUCAUAAAUCCAUGGACAAAAAACAAAAUCGGGGUAACAAACUAAAACUGAGGGAAAGGCAUAAAUAUAAGAGGAGAACAACGACACAACACUACAAUGUAACUAAUACACACAGAAACGGACCAAGCAUCAGACAAAAUCCCACGAGAAUAACAAAUAUAACAUCAAAACCAAAUACAUGAAUUUGGGAUAGACAAGUACCGUGACACGUCUUAUCGCAAUGUCAAUUUACACUCAAAAAUAAGAGAAAACAAACGACGCAACGUUAAAUUGUAACACACACAGAAACGAACUAUAAUAUAACAAUGGCCAUAUGCCUGAAGUAGGUCCACUGUUGGGGUCUGACACCUUAACCCACUCUUACAGAAAAGUUAAUUAAAAAUGUUCUACGGCAAUACUUUUGUCUGCACUAGGUG
Molecule: long non-coding RNA, 5007 nt
Filed under: Mytilus galloprovincialis (Mediterranean mussel)
Lineage: Eukaryota; Metazoa; Mollusca; Bivalvia; Mytilida; Mytilidae
Source: RNAcentral